This 253-nucleotide ribosomal RNA is filed under the name uncultured bacterium. RNAcentral's name for it is "partial 16S ribosomal RNA". It matches the Rfam family "Bacterial small subunit ribosomal RNA", at positions 524 to 776 of the family's 1533-position model. The record is from RNAcentral.
UACGGGGGGGGUAAGCGUUGUUCGGAAUUACUGGGCGUAAAGGGCGCGUAGGCGGCCGAUCAAGUCAGGCGUGAAAUUCCCGGGCUCAACCUGGGGGCUGCGCUUGAUACUGAUUGGCUUGAAUGCGGGAGAGGAUAGUGGAAUUCCCAGUGUAGAGGUGAAAUGCGCAGAUAUCGGGAGGAACACCAAUGGCGAAGGCAGCUCGCUGGGACGGUACUGACGCUGAGACGCGAAAGCGUGGGGAGCAAACAGG